AAAGCAGGAUAGAGAACACGCUGGAUCCCAUCUGAUCUCGGAAGCUAAGCAGGGUCGGGCCUGGUUAGUACUUGGAUGGGAGACAACCUAGGAAGACCAGGUGCUGUA
This 108-nucleotide ribosomal RNA is filed under the name Pteropus alecto (black flying fox). The record is from RNAcentral. Lineage: Eukaryota; Metazoa; Chordata; Mammalia; Chiroptera; Pteropodidae.